Gigantopelta aegis is the source of this 423-nucleotide long non-coding RNA. RefSeq lists it as uncharacterized. NCBI's taxonomy places the organism in Eukaryota, Metazoa, Mollusca, Gastropoda, Neomphalida, Peltospiridae. The transcript has 3 exons. The record is from RefSeq and is a predicted model, not a curated record.
UACCAUCUCCAAUGUAUCCAGUCUGUCAAAGCAGACGUUAGUAUACUGACACGAAGGCAGCCAUCUUGGUCCAGGCCUGACAUAAGACAUGGCCACAGCGUCUUUCACAGACGACCCAAUCUCCUGCAGCCUCUGUUUGGAGAUCUUCACUGAUCCGCGCGUACUUCCGUGUGGACACACGUUUUGUUUGACGUGUCUCCAAAAUCACAUCGACGCCAAAAACACAGAUGAUACUUUCAUGUGUCCAAACUGCAGGCACGUGGUCGGUAUCCCUGACAAGACACAAUCUACAUCGACUAGGGCUUCACAGUUCAAACGAAACCUGGCACUUAUGGACGCCAUUGGUCUUAUCAAACAAUUUAAAAUACACAUGGCCACAACGUUUUCCACAGAAUACCCAAUCUCCUGCAGCCUCUGUUUGAA